GACGAACGCUGGCGGCGUGCUUAACACAUGCAAGUCGAACGGAAAGGCCCCUUUUGGGGUACUCGAGUGGCGAACGGGUGAGUAACACGUGAGUAACCUGCCCUUGACUUCGGGAUAACCUCAGGAAACUGGGGCUAAUACCGGCUAGGAAUCCUUGCUGCAUGGUGGGGGUUGGUAAGCUUCGGCGGUUUUGGAUGGACUCGCGGCUUAUCAGCUUGUUGGUGGGGUAGUGGCUUACCAAGGCUUUGACGGGUAGCCGGCCUGAGAGGGCGACCGGCCACAUUGGGACUGAGAUACGGCCCAGACUCCUACGGGAGGCAGCAGUGGGGAAUAUUGCACAAUGGGCGGAAGGCUGAUGCAGCAACGCCGCGUGCGGGAUGACGGCCUUCGGGUUGUAAACCGCUAUCAGCAGGGGCGAAGCUUGUGGUGACGGUACCUGCAGAAGAAGCACCGGCUAACUACGUG
This 465-nucleotide ribosomal RNA is filed under the name uncultured bacterium. RNAcentral describes it as "partial 16S ribosomal RNA". It matches the Rfam family "Bacterial small subunit ribosomal RNA", at positions 28 to 507 of the family's 1533-position model. The record is from RNAcentral.